UACGAACUGUGCAAACGUUAUUCGGAAUCACUGGGCUUAAAGGGUGCGUAGGCGGCUUGCUAAGCAGGGUGUGAAAGCCCCCGGCUCAACCGGGGAAUUGCGCCUUGAACUAGCGAGCUGGAGUGAGAUAGGGGUGUGCGGAACUUCCAGUGGAGCGGUGAAAUGUGUUGAUAUUGGAAGGAACGCCGGUGGCGAAAGCGGCACACUGGGUCUCAACUGACGCUGAGGCACGAAAGCCAGGGGAGCAAACGGG
This 253-nucleotide ribosomal RNA is filed under the name uncultured bacterium. RNAcentral's name for it is "partial 16S ribosomal RNA". It matches the Rfam family "Bacterial small subunit ribosomal RNA", at positions 524 to 776 of the family's 1533-position model. The record is from RNAcentral.